AUUGAACGCUGGCGGCAGGCCUAACACAUGCAAGUCGAGCGGAUGAAGGGAGCUUGCUCCUGGAUUCAGCGGCGGACGGGUGAGUAAUGCCUAGGAAUCUGCCUGGUAGUGGGGGAUAACGUCCGGAAACGGGCGCUAAUACCGCAUACGUCCUGAGGGAGAAAGUGGGGGAUCUUCGGACCUCACGCUAUCAGAUGAGCCUAGGUCGGAUUAGCUAGUUGGUGGGGUAAAGGCCUACCAAGGCGACGAUCCGUAACUGGUCUGAGAGGAUGAUCAGUCACACUGGAACUGAGACACGGUCCAGACUCCUACGGGAGGCAGCAGUGGGGAAUAUUGGACAAUGGGCGAAAGCCUGAUCCAGCCAUGCCGCGUGUGUGAAGAAGGUCUUCGGAUUGUAAAGCACUUUAAGUUGGGAGGAAGGGCGGUAAGUUAAUACCUUGCUGUUUUGACGUUACAAACAGAAUAAGCACCGGCUAACUUCGUG
Molecule: ribosomal RNA, 484 nt
Filed under: uncultured bacterium
Lineage: Bacteria
Description: partial 16S ribosomal RNA
Rfam family: Bacterial small subunit ribosomal RNA
Source: RNAcentral